RNAcentral lists this transfer RNA (73 nucleotides) under Chloroflexi bacterium RBG_13_68_17. RNAcentral's name for it is "tRNA-Thr". It matches the Rfam family "tRNA". Rfam says of the family: Transfer RNA (tRNA) molecules are approximately 80 nucleotides in length. Their secondary structure includes four short double-helical elements and three loops (D, anti-codon, and T loops). Lineage: Bacteria; Bacillati; Chloroflexota. RNAcentral also lists the same sequence under 3 other names. The record is from RNAcentral.
GCCACCAUAGCUCAGCUGGCAGAGCGGGCGUUUCGUAAACGUCAGGUCGUGGGUUCGAAUCCCACUGGUGGCU